CGGUAAUUCCAGCUCCACUAUGUAUAAAUCGUCAUUGCUGCGGUUAAAAAGCUCGUAGUUGGAUUUGAGGCACGUACAGCGGUUCGGCUCUGCCGGUAAUCACUGUUGUGUCUAAUUUGUUGGUUUUCUGUUGGUAACUUCGGUUCCUUCAGUGGCUAGCAAGUUUACCUUGAUCAAAUCAAAGCGCUCAAAGCAGGCGAUUGCUUGCAUUUGGGAUCAUGGAAUAAUAAAAUAGGAUUUCGAUUCUAUUUAUUGGUUUAGAAUUGAAUUAAUGAUUAAGAGAGACAAUUCGGGGGCAUUCGUAUCCCUGCGCGAGAGGUGAAAUUCGUGGACCGCAGGGGGACGUCCAAAAGCGAAAGCAUUUGCCAAGAAUGUCUUCAUUAAUCAAGAACGAAAGUCAGAGGUUCGAAGGCGAUUAGAUACCCGCCCUAAUUCUGACCGUAAACUAUGCCAUCUAGCGAUCCGAUAGGGUAUUCAUGCCUUG
This 484-nucleotide ribosomal RNA is filed under the name uncultured eukaryote. RNAcentral's name for it is "SSU rRNA". It matches the Rfam family "Eukaryotic small subunit ribosomal RNA", at positions 577 to 1078 of the family's 1831-position model. The record is from RNAcentral.